This 289-nucleotide long non-coding RNA is filed under the name Setaria viridis. RNAcentral describes it as "long non-coding RNA (SVIR_LNC001612)". Lineage: Eukaryota; Viridiplantae; Streptophyta; Magnoliopsida; Poales; Poaceae. The record is from RNAcentral.
GAAGAUCAAUAUGGUCCAGAUGGGUUUUUUAAUGAAUAUGAUGACAGUCUAGUCAGCAAUAACAGUAGGAAGAGGGGAAGUAGCAACAGCACCAAGUCCACUGCCACUAGUCCUGCAAAGAAAUCUAAAAGCCCUUUGAUGAAGAUGAUGAGCAGCCUAGUUGACAAGUUGACUACCUCUGAAGAUAAUAAUGAUAACAUAUUCAGUAAUGUGGGGGAGACUCUUGCUAUCAGUCUCAAUGAGAAAAGACAGAAGCUGACCCCUAUGCAAGAGAUGGCACAGUUUGUUA